Molecule: unclassified non-coding RNA, 170 nt
Filed under: uncultured Cladophialophora
Lineage: Eukaryota; Fungi; Ascomycota; Eurotiomycetes; Chaetothyriales; Herpotrichiellaceae
Description: sequence contains ITS2
Source: RNAcentral
UCACCCCUCAAGCCCCGUGCUUGGUGUUGGACGGCCGGUCGAGCGAUCGACCCCUCCCAAAGACAAUGACGGCGGCCUGCGGUUCCCCCGGUACACUGAGCUUUCGCGAGCACGUGCCGGACAAGGGCGCCCGGGCCCCGGUCCUCUCCCCCCAGCGGGAAACUUUCUAU